RNAcentral lists this ribosomal RNA (443 nucleotides) under uncultured bacterium. RNAcentral describes it as "partial 16S ribosomal RNA". It matches the Rfam family "Bacterial small subunit ribosomal RNA", at positions 338 to 795 of the family's 1533-position model. The record is from RNAcentral.
CCUACGGGUGGCAGCAGUUGGGAAUAUUGGGCAAUGGGCGCAAGCCUGACCCAGCAACGCCGCGUGAAGGAAGAAGGCUUUCGGGUUGUAAACUUCUUUUCUCAGGGACGAAGAAAGUGACGGUACCUCAGGAAUAAGCCACGGCUAACUACGUGCCAGCAGCCGCGGUAAUACGUAGGUGGCAAGCGUUAUCCGGAUUUAUUGGGUGUAAAGGGCGUGUAGGCGGGAAAGCAAGUCAGAUGUGAAAACCAAGGGCUCAACCUUGGGCCUGCAUUUGAAACUGUUUUUCUUGAGUGCUGGAGAGGCAAUCGGAAUGCCGAGUGUAGCGGUGAAAUGCGUAGAUAUAAGGAGGAACACCAGUGGCGAAGGCGGACUGCUGGACAGUAACUGACGCUGAGGCGCGAAAGCGUGGGGAGCAAACAGGAUUAGAUACCCUGGUAGUC